AGCCACUGCUAUCGGGCUCCGACUAAGCCAUGCGAGUCUAGGGGCUCCUUCGGGAGCACCGGCGGACGGCUCAGUAACACGUGGACAACCUACCCUCGGGUGGGGGAUAACCUCGGGAAACUGAGGCUAAUACCCCAUAGGCCUCGGGUACUGGAAGGUCCCGAGGCUGAAAGCUCCGGCGCCCGAGGAUGGGUCUGCGGCCUAUCAGGUAGUUGGUGGUGUAAAGGACCACCAAGCCUGCGACGGGUACGGGCCCUGAGAGGGGGAGCCCGGAGAUGGACUCUGAGACACGAGUCCAGGCCCUACGGGGCGCAGCAGGCGCGAAACCUUCGCAAUGCGCGAAAGCGCGACGAGGGGAGCCCGAGUGCCAUUCCUUCGGGGAGGGCUUUUCCCGAGCCUAAAAAGCUCGGGGAAUAAGGGCUGGGCAAGACGGGUGCCAGCCGCCGCGGUAAUACCCGCAGCUCGAGUGGUGGCCACUAUUAUUGAGCCUAAAGCGUCCGUAGCCGGACCCGUAAAUCCCUGGGUAAAUCCUGGCGCUUAACGUCGGGAAUUCCGGGGAGACUGCGGGUCUUGGGACCGGGAGAGGCCGGAGGUACUCCAGGGGUAGGGGUAAAAUCCUGUAAUCCCUGGGGGACCACCUGUGGCGAAAGCGUCCGGCUUGAACGGCUCCGACGGUGAGGGACGAAGGCCAGGGGAGCAAACCGGAUUAGAUACCCGGGUAGUCCUGGCUGUAAACGCUGCCCGCUUGGUGUUGUCGGUCUUUCGGGGGCCGGCAGUGCCGGAGCGAAGGUGUUAAGCGGGCCGCUUGGGGAGUACGGCCGCAAGGCUGAAACUUAAAGGAAUUGGCGGGAGAGCACUGCAACGGGAGGAGCGUGCGGUUU
Molecule: ribosomal RNA, 881 nt
Filed under: uncultured euryarchaeote
Lineage: Archaea; Methanobacteriati; Methanobacteriota
Description: bacterial SSU rRNA
Rfam family: Archaeal small subunit ribosomal RNA
Source: RNAcentral